Molecule: long non-coding RNA, 302 nt
Filed under: Monodelphis domestica (gray short-tailed opossum)
Lineage: Eukaryota; Metazoa; Chordata; Mammalia; Didelphimorphia; Didelphidae
Description: lncRNA (ENSMODG00000044222.1)
Source: RNAcentral
AAUCUCCAAGACACUAACUUUCAUCAAGGGGAAAAGCAGGACACUUACAGUGAAAUUUUCUAAAGGUUAUUUAUUAAAUUCAUAAGUAUUUUUUAAACACCUAUGACAUGAGGGACAUGUGCUAGUUACUAAAUGUUGAAGCGAUGAACAGCAAAUUCCUUCAUAAAGUUUGCAGGAAGCCUUUAAAGGACAGUACAAAAAGAAUAACCACUUGGCAUAAGUGGUAUGCAUGGAAUGACAGCUACCUUGGGCUUUCUGCUGAUUUUACCAGUCUAUCAAAAAAGCCAUCCCAAUCAGUUUGA